Molecule: ribosomal RNA, 253 nt
Filed under: uncultured bacterium
Lineage: Bacteria
Description: partial 16S ribosomal RNA
Rfam family: Bacterial small subunit ribosomal RNA
Source: RNAcentral
UACGUAGGGUGCGAGCGUUGCCCGGAUUUAUUGGGCGUAAAGCGCGCGCAGGCGGUUCUUUAAGUCUGAUGUGAAAGCCCACGGCUCAACCGUGGAGGGUCAUUGGAAACUGGAGAACUUGAGUACAGAAGAGGAAAGCGGAAUUCCACGUGUAGCGGUGAAAUGCGUAGAGAUGUGGAGGAACACCAGUGGCGAAGGCGGCUUUCUGGUCUGUAACUGACGCUGAGGCGCGAAAGCGUGGGGAGCAAACAGG